CUACGGGUGGCAGCAGUGGGGAAUAUUGGACAAUGGGGGAAACCCUGAUCCAGCAAUGCCGCGUGUGUGAAGAAGGCCUGCGGGUUGUAAAGCACUUUCGGUUGGGAGGACUGCCUCUAGCACUAAUAUUGUUGGAAGUUGACGUUACCUUCAGAAGAAGCACCGGCUAACUCCGUGCCAGCAGCCGCGGUAAUACGGAGGGUGCAAGCGUUAAUCGGAAUUACUGGGCGUAAAGCGCGCGUAGGCGGCUAGAUCAGUCGGGUGUGAAAGCCCCGGGCUUAACCUGGGAACUGCAUCCGAUACUGUCUAGCUUGAGUACAGGAGAGGAGAGUGGAAUUCCACAUGUAGCGGUGAAAUGCGUAGAUAUGUGGAGGAACACCAAUGGCGAAGGCAGCUCUCUGGCCUGAUACUGACGCUGAGGUGCGGAAGCGUGGGGAGCAAACAGGAUUAGAUACCCGAGUAGUC
Molecule: ribosomal RNA, 465 nt
Filed under: uncultured bacterium
Lineage: Bacteria
Description: partial 16S ribosomal RNA
Rfam family: Bacterial small subunit ribosomal RNA
Source: RNAcentral